Non-coding RNA from Rattus norvegicus (Norway rat), 25281 nucleotides. NCBI's taxonomy places the organism in Eukaryota, Metazoa, Chordata, Mammalia, Rodentia, Muridae. The record is from RefSeq and is a predicted model, not a curated record.
GGGAGUGGGAGAUGGGAAGGAGGACAGACGUGAUUGGCAUGAGCGUGCUUCAGCUGCACCUGGGCACAAGUUGAAAGCAUUUGAGGCUUGAUGUUUCCUUUGGGACAAAUGCUUGAAAGUAGAUUUGUAAUAUUAAAGGUGUUAAAUGUGUUGGAAGUUUGCCCCCAAGGGGUGCAAGUUUUUAAUAGUAAUGGCUGUAGUAAUGAUCGCAUUGUUUGUCUCUGUGGAUUGACCAGCACCACAGACUUCAUGGGUCCUGUAGAAAACCCACAAGUUGUGUUUCUAAUCCGAGUGCUUGGGAAGUAAGAGUUAGGAGGCUCACCCUCUGAUACAUAUAUCAGGUUUGAAGCCUGGGCUACAUCAGACCUGUCUCAGAAAAAUAAAACACAGGCUGAAAAUAGCUUUCUUUUUUUUUUAAAGUAUACUGGUUCAUAGUGAACACAUAUACACAGAACUCUGGAGUCUCACUUUAUUGUAAAGUCGGGUGUGUGUGUGUGUGUGUGUGUGUGUGUGUGUGUGUGUGUGUAAAGCUAUAGCUAUACACCUUUCACCAGUAUGAAGUCUUUGCCAUUGGUGAAAGUGUCAGAAGUGUCAGGUCAGUCCUCAAGACAUGGGGGCAGCCAGUCCCAAGGUGUUUAGGGCCAGUGUUGUAGCAUCCCAGCAUUCAGGUCCUCCCACUUGGUUAGGAUCCCGUGCUUUUAUGCAUUUGUUUUGUAGAAUGUCACUUGUUGGGAGAGAGGCAGAAAGAGGUGGCAUGGUGAGUAAGAGUGUGUAAAUUUCUUGCAGAGGAACCAGUUCCUAGCACCCACAUCCGGCAGUUCACAGUGGCCUGGAACACCAGUUCCAGAGGAGUCAUAUGCCUCUGGUCUCCAUGGACACUUGCACUUAGGCACAUACCCAUGCAAGACUCAAAUAUAUGUACUUAAAUAAAAUAUCUCUUAAAGAAUAAACAAAACAAACAAACAAAAAAAGAACAUGCUUGACAACCUGCACCGCCUAAAGAUUGUUUCAACUUGUUGUAAGAGUGGACUAAACAAGACUGAUGCUCAUUUGUCUGUUUUUCUUGGUAUACGAGGUCUGGAUGAAUAGCAUCUGUGUCAUUAUGGUUGAUGCUACAUUGCCAACUUCAGAUAACCAGGGCCUAUAUUCUCAUGCUUACAUCUGGCCAGCAUGGAGAACCUCAUAAUGACCAAUACCUUGCUUGCUGAGAACAGAAAUUUAGCCUUGAAAAUGUUCUAACAGGAAAUAAAUUAAGGUUGGGGGGGUGUGUGAAGGGAGAUAUUUGGUUUCAGUCACAUUGUCCUCAGGGAACCUAGGCCUUACACACAGUCUCAUGUGCUUCUUCCUCAUGCUCAUUCUCAUCCUUGAGGCCAGCUCUGUUCUGCUGAACACUUGGAAAUUCUAAGCUCAUAUAUCUGAUUUUCAAUCUGUGUCUGACAUUAUGACACAAUUUGAUGCAAAUUUGUGUGGAUAAUGCUCUACAUAAACAUGAAUGCACUGUUCAUGUUGUUCCUCAUCCAUUUUCUUUCCUCUUUUUCCCCUUCAGUUAUCCCUAAGCUAAUUUGUGUGUUCACCAUAGAAAUUGAUGGCUUUAUUUCCUACAGCCAUGGAAGCAAAUUCCAGCUUCAGUCAAGAGAGCACUCUGGCAGGAAUUUCAAAGCAAAGGGAACAAUUGACCUGUGAACUUUUUGCCACUGGAGACAGAUGUCCCUGGAAGUUGAGAACUAGAAACACCCUAAAUAUCCACUUUUCCUUGAAGUGUCUGUGGCUAUAUUCUGCCUCUAGUCCAAAGAAAGCAUAAUGGCUGAAGACAGAACACAGGAGGGAGUCAUGGAGAAAUAGUUGCAUUUCUAAGUGACCGUAAGUUAACUUUAGUACCACAGGGAGAAAGACUAGCAGAACAUACACCAGGAUUAAUUUACCUUAAUUAAUCUGAAGAAAGGGGCCAUUAGGCUCUGGAUUUUCUAUUUUUCUAUGUAUCUGGAUCAUUCCACAUAAAUCAGUUAUUCAAAUGAUGAUAAUAUCUACCACACGCAUAAAUGUUUUCAAAUGAAAGAACCAUUUCUAUACUAGGUUGAAAGGAAAGGGUGUGUGUGUGUGUGUGUGUGUGUGUGUGUGUGUGUGUGUGUGUGUGUGUGUGUGUUUCCCACACCCUAUGGCCACAUCACAUCUUCAAUUGCUCUCACAGUAUGGAGCUGAUUGGAAGUUAUCAUUGCUCCAAAUUCUGAGAUGCCUGCAAUUUGCUUUGCUAUUCUCACUCAGAGGCAUGAUGAGUUGUUAGAUGGCUCAUGUUUCACUCUAGAACUCAGAAUGUGUCAAAGGGCCAUAUGCUAGUACCUGUUGACCACUGUUUGGUACAGGUAGGCAAACCUACCACUAGCUUCUUGAUCUGUGCCUCUCCCUCUGUGGCUCCAGGGGUAGGCUAACAGCAUCUCUGCUCUAACCUAGUAAGGUCAAAUUCUCCAGCAAUAAGACAUUGGGAUAUCUUAGUUCCAUGCUGCUACUGAAAUUUUAACUUUUUACUGUGUGUAAGGCCAGAUAAGGUCUGUCUACAUAGGAACUGCAGGUGAGGGCCAGCAUAAGAAAUGAAUAGAAUCCAGCACUCCUUGCUGGUAUUUGAAAAGCCUUGUAGCUGCAACCUUGUUCAGAAGUACACCUUGUGCCUCGUUUAUAAAUUCAAGUAUCUGCUGGGCACCUCAUAAUUUCUGCUGGCAAUAAUAAAUGUCAACACGCGGUAUAUGUCAGGGAGACAGUGCUGCUGGUGGCUUCACUUUCUUGAUGGCUCCCACUCGGAUACACUGGUUGGAAGAGGAAUAAGUGAGCCUGACAGUCUUUGUGGCCUUGUGAGAGGAAGUGUGUCCUCCUAGAUCUGCGCUUUGAGAAUACACCACACACACACACACACACACACACACACACACACACACACACAUACACAAAUAUAUAUAUAUGCCUGAAUGCUACCAUGCUUCCCAUCAGGAUGAUAAUGGACUAAAACUCUGAAACUAAACCACCGUCAAUUAAAUGUUUUCCUUUGUAAAAGUUGACAUGGUCACAGUGUCUCUUCACAGCAGUGAAAAUACUAAGAAGUUGGUACCAGGGGGUGGGAUAUUAUUACAUUAGACCUGACCAGGAUUUUCCUUGGAGGAAUGUAGAUUUGGAACUUUGGAUUAGGAAGAAAGAGGGGUGUUUUAAAUGGGUCUUAAAGGUAUGAACAUGGAAUGUUGGAAGCGGUGCCCUUGACGCCCUCCAUUGUUGAUGUUAUUAUUAUGGUUAGAAUUAAGUAUGACUGGGUUCAUGGAAAAUCCCCAGCCAGCUGCAGAAGACUAAUACAAAUCUGGUGGUCAAGAAAAAUAAUAAUAUGAUAAAGUUGUCCUGCUGACUAAUAAUAUGACAAACCUGUGACCUUUCUGACAACCUGUCAACAUCAGCCUACUCCCUGACCACACGAAUAUUGUGUCCUUGGCCUGCGUAAGUGUUUCUUACUUCCCCCCUCCCUCUGUUACCCAUGUUAUGGUAUAAAUUCAGCCUUGGGGAAAAAUAAAAUUGUCGCCUUGAUCAGACUCUUGUCUUGGCGUCCUUCGUGUCCCUUGUCCCCCAUUCUCUUCCAGGUACACCCCAGACCCCUUUGCUUACAAAUGGCGCCCAGUAUGCAGCUGUUUGGAGGUCUCCUGGAGGAGAACGUCAUCCAUUGUGAAUAGGCAGGCCCAUCUUCCUUGUUCGUUGGAGCUUUUGCUCCCCCUCGGAGCCUUUGCUCCCCCACUUCUGGCAAUCAUGGACUGCCCGACCUUGGUUCAGAGGCUUGGUGUGUGUUUCUUCCUGGAGGAUGCAGAUCUCAGUGAAGGAGCCCAGGGAAGCACUGAACACGGCGCAAGGUACACACGACUUCAUCUACAGUCUGCACUCCACCGAGAGGAGCUGCUCGCUCAAAGAACUGCACCACUUCAAGUCCAUUGCUGUCGUACAAGAAGAACUGGAAGCUCUACCACCCACUCCAGGACAGCUGAGAUAUAUAUUCUUCCACAAUGCGAUGCCUUUCGUAGGAUUUGAUUUUUUUGAAUAACGCAAUUAUGAUUGUUACAUGAAACCAAAUUGAAUUGUCUAUUGGAAUUAUUUUGUGAAUGUCAACAAUGGCAGUCAACAUGUCAUUUUUCCUUCUAUGUAUCAACAUAUUAUUUAAUUUUUCAGUUUUUGAUACUAUACUGUACUGAGUUGGGGUUUGCUUUUUUCUGACAUAACAUGCAUCGGAUAACUAUGUAUGUCUUUUUUUUCUGAUGGUUAUAAUUCAAUGCUGAGGUUUCUCCAAAUUAUUUAAGAUGUUUAAUAUCAGUUAAAAUUGUAAUUCCCUGCCUGGUGCCAUCCCUUCUGUGACAUUACAUGGUAAACAUUUACAAUUCAUGGUAAACAUUUGGAGCAGUGUUUUAAGUAUAUCUGACUAUUUUAAUUUUGAACCACACUGUCUUUAAGAGUCAGAGGCUAAUCAGAAAGAACAAUUGUCUGCCCCCCCCUUUUACGUAAGCUGUAUAUGCUAACAAGUGUACUUAUUUCCGAUUGGCUUUUUACCUUUAAUUUCUCAACUUUGAAUAAUCACAGUGAAUUCUGGUUUGUGAGAGAAGGCAGCGCUCGGACACUUCCUGUGUCUUAGAAUAGGGUUAAAGAGAACAUGAAAUAGGUCAGAGAUGGCUUGGGAAAGAGAAAAGGAGAAAGAGAAAAAGCUGAGAACUGGUAUCAAAAUUGGUUCUCCACACCCCCUUGGUUGUCCAUCCUGCUUCCUUCCUUCCUGUUGGACCCCCUAGUAGGCCUUCUUUUGCUUAUAUCUUAUGGUACUUGGACAUUUAACCGUUUAACCAGCUUUAUUAAACAACAGGUAGAUAAUAUAGCAGCAAAACCUAUUUUGGUAUAUUAUCAUAGGCUAGCUAUGGAGUAUGCUUUGAUGAUGGCCAAGCUCACCUACACAUCUCCUCCCAGCCCACGCAAGGACAUUUUUGUCCUUUCAGCCAGAUAAGGCCAACAUUCUUUUCUGCCUGCUGUCCUGAUGUCUUUGCUGAAAAAUCAAUGAAUCGUCACCCCUGCAUGCUGAACUGGACAGUCAAUGACGGGUAAGAGAGUGAUAUAUUCACAAUAAAGGGCCUAAGACAGGAGGGCCGCCAUUAGCUGCUGCCUUAUCCCAUGACGGACCCUGGCCACAAGAUUCUCCUGGCCAUGUGACAAAUGUGCACCAACCUAAGACAGAAGCAGUUCCCGAGGGGCUCAUCUGAGGACAGCACAGCCAUUUGCUCACCUUUUCAUUUGACUAUAAGGAAAAGUGAGAUGUUGGGAGCGAUGCCCUUGAAACCCUCCAUUGUUGAUGUUAUUAUUAUGGUUAGAAUUAAGUAUGACUGGGUUCAUGGAAAAUCCCCAGCCAGCUGCAGAAGACUAAUACAAAUCUGGUGGUCAAGAAAAAUAAUAAUAUGAUAAAGUUGUCCUGCUGACUAAUAAUAUGACAAACCUGUGACCUUUCUGACAACCUGUCAACAUCAGCCUACUCCCUGACCACACGAAUACUGUGUCCUUGGCCUGCGUAAGUGUUUCUUACUUCCCCCCUCCCUCUGUUACCCAUGUUAUGGUAUACAUUCAGCCUUGGGGAAAAAUAAAAUUGUCGCCUUGAUCAGACUCUUGUCUUGGUGUCCUUCUUAUGUCCCUUGUCCCCCAUUCUCUUCCGGGUACACCCCAGACCCCUUCGCUUACAAUGGAAGAUAGUGCUAAAGCUGAUCUGUGGGAUCUUGGUGUAAGAGGUUUCAGAGCAGAAGAAUUUUAGUAUAUUUUGGUGAAGAAUGUGGCUGCUUUUGGCCCUUGAUCGGAGUGUAUCUGAGGCUAAGGUGAAGAUAUUUAGAAUAAUUGCCUUGGCAAAGGAAAUCUCAAAGCACCCUAGUUUAGAUUAUGCUCAAUGGUUCACUUUUAUUAAGAGCAUCUUCAUCAACUACAGCAAGCUAAGAAAGGAAAAAUACACCAUGUAUGGCUCAAGGAUUAAAGGAGCACCAAGAAGUGGAAUGGAAGUGGGUAUGAUGUUCAAGAAGAUCAGCAAAUUAAAGAUAUUAAAUGGAAUUAAGGUAGUGGUAACAUUUGGGCAAGAUAUCACCCAGCUAAUCUUCUGUCUCAUGAAUUAUGUUCAACAGAGAACAUUACCACCUAUUCUUAACUUAAAAUGCACUUGUGGUUGGAUGAUGGAUACUUAUGAUAGUUGUUGUCCUGACCUGGCUAUUGUUUUCAAUCGGACAUAAAGAGAUAUGAUUGUCAAGUUGUCAAGGAUUACUAUUCUUGGUUGCCAACUUGACUAUAUCUGGAAUGAUCUACAAUCCAGAAAUGGAGCACACACCUGUGAUCUGGGUCUUGAGAUAGGAAGACAGCAACUUUUGAUCCAGAUGAUAUAUACUUUUGAUUGAGAUUGACACAUCUUUAACCAAUAUCUUGAGGUAUAGUGGCCAUGCAUAUAAAAAUGUAUAAUGAAAAGGAAUUAAAGAAAUGCUUAGGUUCAGGCAUUAAUCCUGAACUCAGGAAACAGACAUGCAGAUCUCUGAAUUCAAGGUCACCCUGGUCUCCAGUGCAAGUUCUAUAACAGCCAAGGUAAGGCAAUGAAGAAAACAAUGGAGAACAGAAAUAUGGUGAAGAUAUAAUUGAGAAAGUUGACUGUGUUCUAGUCCCAGCAAGCAGAAGAACGUGGCAGCUUCCAUUAUGUGGUUCUGGCUUUAGAAUCAAGAAUAGAAUUUCCCUCUGUAACUAAGGAAACUUUCAUAAGCCAAGUGGUGGCAGGGUUGUCUCAAUAAAAAGGGUGUUUCUCUUUUAUCAAACAGUACAUAGUAGGAACUAUUUUGAAGCAAUUAUGAAAACUAUUAAGUAUAAAUUACACUGAAAACACCCAGUCCAUUACACUUGGCAAUCAGGAAAAAGUCUUUUAUCACCUACCCUAACUAAAAGAGUUUACAAUUCUGUAAUUCAAUUAGAUUUGAUUUCAAUUUGUAUUAUCAACUGAAAACCACCCUUUCAAAUUUGUAACAUCUUUUUGAUGUUAAACAACUUAAGUUCAAUAGUGAAAUUAUAACUAGCAUUCAACCCCAUCAGAGACUUGAGAAGAAAUUAUAUAUUACCCAAGCAUGCAAAAAUAUGCCCAAUAUAGACAUAUAGCUUGCAAUUAUAAUAACUGGAUAUUAUGGUUUUCAUAUGGGCUUAUUGGGUUUGGAAAUUUCAACAAAGAAAAGCACAAAGAAGCAGUUUCCAAAAACAAAUGGCAAGGAGAGUUGACUGCCUAAACAGUCCCCAAUAUUUCUUAUAUUGUUGGAGCAUAUGUCUUCAGCCUUCUGGCCCAGAACCUUCUAAUAGAUCAUAAGUGAAACAGGAAUUAUUAAGGACUAGCUUACCCUGUAUUGACAGAGCUUACCAAUCAACUAUUUUACAUCCAUUUUUUUCCUUUCAGGAUCUUAUUCUGUCUGAAGGUGAAAUUAGAGCAUUUCUUGCCAAGUGGCUAGCUUGUCACAAUUGGAACAAUUCCGCCGAGAGGUAUUAAUGCUCUUCUCAUUCCUUGAAGUGGAAGGCAGGUAUCAUCAGAAGCAGACAUAUCUCCUAAAGAUCUUUUAGUACUGAAAUGACAUUACAUGCCAUAGUCUGGGUAUUUUUGACACUGUUGAAGACAAUCUAAGUAUAACAUAACUGAAUUGUCAAACACUGAUUAUUAUCAGGUAUCCAUUAUUUGAAUAAUCAUGAAAAUGCUUUAUUAUAAUUGACUAAAUUAGAAUCGAAUAUGACUAAAAGUUUCAUAAUCUGACAAUUAACUUGCAUUACUUAAUGAAUUAAACAGUCUGUAUUAGCACCUAUUUUUGGGGGGGGGGGAGGAAAGGGUUUAUUCGGCUUAUACUUCCACAUCGCUGUUCAUCCCCAAAGGAAGUCAGGGCUGAAACUCAAGCACAUCAGGAAGCAGGAGCUGAUGCACAGGCCAUGGAGGGAUGUUACUUACUGGCUUACUUCCCCUGGUUUGCUCGGCUUGCUUUCUUAUAGAACCCAAUACCGCCAGCCCAAGGAUGGCACCAGCCACAAGGGCCCUUCCCCCUUGAUUACUAAUUGAGAAAGUGCUUUACAGCUGGAUCUCACAGAGGCAUUUCAUCAACUGAGAUCCCUGUUUCUGUGAUAACUCCAGCUAUGUCAAGUUGACACACAAAAACAGCCAGAACACUAGGUAAAGGUAGAAGUUAGGGUAAACAAAGUUUUUUUUACAUGUAAAAAGGAAGUUUAAUAGGAUGGUAAUAAAGAGUGUCAAUUUGCUAAGAGAUCACAUGUUUAUAUAUGCAUAUAUAUAUAUAUAUAUAUGAUAAUAGAGUACCUGACACAGUGGCUAUUCUGAAAAUGACAACUCCUAAUGGGAUCACUCCUGUCAUCCUGCAUUUAAUUCAAACAACAGUUAUGUAAAGGAAGUACUUACUAUAGUUAGUUUUAUAUUUGGGUAUAUAUACUUCCAACUAUAUUGAAUUAUGACUUACAUAAUUAUACAUAAUUUUUACCUUUGUCCAGUUUUUCAGAAAAUAUUUGAAAAAGUAAAAUGAAUAUAGCACAAACAGUUUUCAUUUUCUUAUCCUUAUUCUGGUUUUAAAAACACCAACGUGUUGUUCGUCUGAUAAAUAAUAUCUGUUAAUUUAUGGUCCAUUGAAGUAAACUCACAAUGGACUUCAGUCCUGGGGUAGUUACUGAGAAUCUCCUGUGUCAUCACCACUGUGCUGUGUGCCUAUGUAUCUUUAUGCUCCAUUAUGAUAAUGGGCUCUCAUGGGCACAGAAGGAAGAAAUGCAUUUUGUUUUGUGGAUAUUAUGUAUUAGCACCUAUUGAAAGGACUGGGUCAAAGCAUUAUAUUCUUGAAUGAGUUACAUAGGUAUAAUCUCUAACUAACAGUAACAAACCUAAUUUUAAAUUUUGUAUCAAUAUAUAAAGAUUUAUACUAAUGAAAGCCUUAAACCUGUAUCAAUAGAUAAAUUAUAUACCAAAGUAAGAAAAUAUAACUUCAUUAUGCGUCAAAUAUAAAGAUUUCUAUCAAUGUAAGAAUACGGCUAUGAAAUAUUUUUUUUCAUCUUUAUUAACUUGGGUGUUUAUAUUUCCAUUGUUAUUCCCUUUCCCGGUUUCCAGGCCAACAUCCCCCUAAACCCUGGCCUUCCCCUUCUCUAUGAGUAUACCCCUCCCCAACAUCCCCCAUUACCUCGCUCCCCCCAACAAUCAUGUUCACUGGGGGUUGAGUCUUAGCAGGACCAAGGGCUUCCCCUUCCCCUGGUGCACUUACUAGGCUAUUCAUUGCUACCUAUGAGGUUGGAGCCCAGGGUCAGUCCAUGUACAGUCUUUGGGUAGUGGCUUAGUCCCUGGAAGCUCUGGUUGCUUGGCAUUGUUGUUCAUAUGGGGUCUCGAGCCCCUUCAAGCUCUUCCAGUCCUUUCUCUGAUUCCUUCAACGGGGGACCUAUUCUCAGUUCAGUGGUUUGCUGCGGGCAUUCGCCUCUGUAUUUGCUGUAUUCUGGCUGUGUCUCUCAAGAGAGAUCUACAUCCAGUUCUUGUCGGCCUGCACUUCUUUGCUUCAUCCAUCUUGUCUAAAUGGGUGGCUGUAUAUGCACGGGCCACAUGUGGGGCAGGCUCUGAAUGGAUGUUCCUUCUGCCUCUGUUCCCUAAACUUUGCCUCCCUAUUCCCUCCCAAGGGUAUUCCUGUUGCCCUUAUAAAGGAGUGAGGCAUUCACAUUUUGGUCAUCCUUCUUAAUUUCAUGUAAUCUGUGCAUCUAGGGUAAUUUGAGCAUUUGGGCGAAUAGCCACUUAUCAAUGAGUGCAUGACUUGUGUGUUUUUCUGUGAUUGGGUUACCUCACUCAGGUUGAUAUUUUCCAGUUCCAUCCAUUUGUCUAUGAAUUUCAUAAAGUCAUUGUUUUUGAUAGCUGAGUAAUAUUCCAUUGUGUAGAUGUUCCACAUUUUCUGGAUCCAUUCUUCUGUUGAAGGGCAUCUGGGUUCUUAUAAAUAAGGCUGCUAUGAACAUAGUGGAGCAUGUGUCUUUGUUAUAUGUUGGAGCAUCUUUUGGGUACAUUCCCAAGAGAGGUAUAGCUGGGUCCUCAGGUAGUUCAAUGUUCAAUUUUCUGAGGAACCUCCAGACUGAUUUCCAGAAUGGUUGUACCAAUCUGCAAUCCCACCAACAAUGGAGGAGUGUUCCUCUUUCUCCACAUCCUCGCCAGCAUUUGCUGUCACCUGAGUUUUUGAUCUUAGCCAUUCUCACUGGUGUGAGGUGAAAUCUCAGGGUUGUUUUGAUUUGCAUUUCCCUUAUGACUAAAGAUGUUGAACAUUUCUUUAGGUGUUUCUCAGCCAUUCAGCAUUCCUCAGCUGUGAAUUCUUUGUUUAGCUCUGAACCCCAUUUGUUAAUAGGGUUAUUUGUCUCCCUGUGGUCUAACUUCUUGAGUUCUUUGUAUAUUGAGGAUAUACGCCCUCUAUCAGUUGUAGGAUUGGUAAAGAUCUUUUCCCAAUCUGUUGGUUGCUGUUUUGUCCUAACCACAGUGUCCUUUGUCUUACAGAAGCUUUGCAGUUUUAUGAGAUCCCAUUUGUCGAUUCUUGAUCUUAGAACAUAAGCCAUUUUUUUCCAGGAAAUUUUCUCCAGUGCCUGUGUGUUUGAGAUUCUUCCCCACUUCUUCUUCUAUUAGUUUGAGUGUAUCUGGUUUUAUGUGGAAGUCCUUGAUCCACUUGGAAUUAACCUUUGUACAGGGUGAUAAGCAUGGAUCGAUCUGCAUUCUUCUACAUGCUGACCUCCAGUUGAACCAGCACCACUUGCUGAAAAUGCUAUCUUUUUUCUGUUAGAUGGUUUGGGCUCCUUUGUCAAAAAUCGAGUGCCCAUAGGUAUGUGGGUUCAUUUCUGGGUCUUCAAUGCUAUUCCACUGGUCUAUCUGUCUGUCUCUGUACCAAUACCAUGCAGCUUUUAUCACUAUUGCUCUGUAAUACUGCUUGAGUUCAGGGAGAGUGAUUUCCCGCCAAGUCCUUGUAUUGUUGAGUAUAGUUUUAGCUAUCCUGGAUUUUGUUAUUCCAGAUGAUUUUGCAAAUUGUUCUAUCCAACUCUUUGAAGAAUUGGAUUGGUAUUUUGAUCGGGAUUGCAUUGAAUCUGUAGAUCACUUUUGGUAAAAUGGCCAUUUUUACUAUAUUAAUCCUGCCAAUCCAUGAGCAUGAGAGAUCUUUCCGUCUUCUGAGAUCUUCAAUUUCUUUCUUCAGAGGCUUGAAGUUCUUAUCAUACAGAUCUUUCACUUGCUUGGUUAAAGUCACACCAAGGUAUGUUAUAUUAUUUGGAACUAUUAUGAACGGUGUCAUUUCCCUAAUUUCAUUCUUGGCUUGUUUCUCUGUUGUGUAGAGGAAGGCUACUGAUUUAUUUGACUUAAUUUUAUACCCAGCCACUUUGCUGAAGGUGUUUAUCAGGUUUAGUAGUUCUCUAGUGGAACUUUUGGAAUCACUUAAAUAUACUAUCAUAUCAUCUGCAAAUAGUGAUAUUCUGACCUCUUCUUUUCCAAUCUAUAUCCCUUUGAUCCCCUUUUGUUGUCUGAUUGCUCUGGCUAGAACUUCAAGAACUAUAUUGAAUAAGCAGGGAGAGAGUGGGCAGCCUUGUCUAGUCCCUGAUUUUAGUGGGAUUGCUUCAAGUUUCUCUCCAUUUAGUUUAAUAUUAGCUACUGGUAUGCUGUAUAUGACUUUUACUAUGUUUAGGUAUGGGCCUUGAAUUCCUAUUCUUUCAAAGACUUUUAUCAUGAAGGGGUGUUGAAUUUUUUCAAAUGCUUUCUCAGCAUCUAAUGAAAUGUUCAUGUGGUUUUUAUAUUUAGUUUGUUUAUAUAGUGGAUUACAGUGAUGGUUUUCCAUAUAUUAAACCAUCCCUGCAUGCCUGGAAUGAAGCCUACUUGAUCAUGAUGGAUGAUUGUUUUUGAUGGGCUCUUGGAUUCCAUUUGCAAGAAUUUUAUUGAAUUUUUUGCAUCGAUAUUCAUAAGGGAAAUUGGUCUAAAGUUCUCUUUCCUUGUUGGGUCUUUGUGUGGUUUAGGUAUAAGAGUAAUUGUGGCUUCACCGAAGGAAUUCGGUAGCGCUCCAUCUGUUUCAAUUUUGUGGAAUAGUUUGGAUAGUAUUGGUAUGAGGUCUUCUAUGAAGGUCUGAUAGAAUUCUGCACUGAACCCAUCUGGACCUGUGCUCUAUUUGGUUGGGAGACCUUUAAUGACUGCUUCUAUUUCUGUAGGAGUUUUGUGUUUGUUUAAAUUGUUUAUUUGUUCCUGAUUUAACUUUAGUACCUGGUAUCUGUCUAGGAAAUUGUCCAUUUCCUGCAGAUUUUCAAGUUUUGUUGAACAUAGGCUUUUAUAGUAAGAUCUGAUGAUUUUUUGAAUUUCCUCUGAAUCUGUAGUUAUGUCUCCCUUUUCAUUUCUGGUUUUGUUAAUUUGGACACACUCUCUGUGUCCUCUUGUUAGUCUGGCUAAGGGUCUAUCUAUCUUGUUCAUUUUCUCAAAGAACCAGCUUUUGGUUCUGUUGAUCUUUGUAUAGUUCUUUUUGUUUCCACUUGGUUGAUUUCAGCUCUAAGUUUGAUUAUAUCGUUCCUUCUACUCCUCCUGGGUGUAUUUGCUUUUUUUUUGUUCUAGAGCUUUUAGGUGUGCUGUCAAGGUGCUGAUAUAUGUUCUCUCCUGAUUCUUUCUGCAGGCACUCAGAGCUAUUAGUUUUCCUCUUAGCACAGCUUUCAUUGUGUCCCAUAAGUUUGGGUAUGUUGUACCUUCAUUUUCAUUAAAUUCUAAGAAGUCUUUAAUUUCUUUCUUUAUUUCUACCUUGACCAGGUUAACAUUGAGUAGACCAUUGUAUAACUUCCAUGUAUAUGUUGGCAUUCUUCCCUUAUUGUUUUUGAAGAACAGCUUUAGCCUUUGGUGUUCUGAUAGAAUGCAUGGGAUUAUUUCUAUCUUUCUGUAUCUGUUGAGACCUGUUUUAUGACCAAUUAUAUGGUCAAUUUUGGAGAAAGUACCAUGAGGUGGUGAGAAGAAGGUAUAUCCCUUUGUUAUAGGAUAGAAUGUUCUAUAAGUAUCUGUUAAGUCCCUUUGGUUCAUGACUUCUUUUAGUCUGUCUAUGUCUCUGUUUAAUUUCUGUUUCCAUGAUCUGUCCAUUGAUGAGAUUUGGGUGUUGAAAUCUCCUACUAUUAUUGUGUGAGGUGCAAUGUGUGUUUUGAGCUUUAGUAAGGUUUCUUUUAUGUAUGUAGGUGCCCUUGUAUUUGGAGCAUAGAUAUUUAGGAUUGAAAGUUCAUCUUGUUGGAUUUUUCCUUUGAUGAAUAUGAAGUAUCCUUCCUUAUCUUUUUUAAUUACUUUUGGUUGAAAAUCAAUUUUAUUUGAUAUUAGAAUGGCUACUGCAGUUUGCUUCUUCAGACCACUUGCUUGGAAAGUUGUUUUCCAGCCUUUCACUAUGAGGUAGUGUCUGUCUUUGUUUCUGAUGUGUGUUUCUUGUAGGCAGCAGAUUGCACGGUCCUCAUUGCAUAUCCAGUUUGUUAGUCUAUGUCUUUUUAUUGAGGAAUUGAGUCCAUUGAUGUUGAGAGAUAUUCAGGAAUAGUGAUUGUUGCUUCUGGUUAUAUUCAUAUUUGGAUGUGAGAUUAUGUUUGUGUGCUUUUCUUCUCUUUGUUUUGUUGCCAAGAUGAUUAGUUUCUUGCUUUUUCUAGGGUGUAGCUUGCCUCCUUAUAUUGGACUUUAUGAUUUAUUAUCCUUUGUAGCGCUGGGUUUGUAGAAAGAUAUUGUGUAAAUUUGGUUUUGUCAUUGGUUUCUCCAUCUAUGUUAAUUGGGAGUUUUGCUGGAUAUGGUAACCCGGGCUGACAUUUGUGUUCUCCUAGGGUCUGUAUGACAUCUGUCCAGGAUUGCUGGUUUUCAUAGUCUCUUGUGAGAAUUCUGAUGUGAUUCUGAUAGGUCUGCCUUUAUAUGUUACUUGACCUUUCUCCCUUACUGCUUUUAAUAUUCUUUCAUUGUUUUGUGCAUUUUGUGUUUUGACUAUUAUGUGAUGGGAGGUGUUUCUUUUCUGAUCCAAUCUAUUUGUAGUUCUGUAGGCUUCUUGAAUGUUUACGGGCAUCUCUUUCUUUAGGUUAGGGAAGUUUUCUUCUAUGAUUUUGUUGAAGAUAUUUACUGGUCCUUUGAGCUGGGAGUCUUCGCUCUCUUCUAUACCUGUUAAACAUAGGUUUGAUCUUCUCAUUGAGUCCUGGAUUUCCUGUAUGUCUUGAACCAGUAGCUUUUUCUGUUUUACAUUGUCUAUGACAGUUGUGUCGAUGAUUUCUAUGGAAUCUUCUGCUCCUGAGAUUCCCUUUUCUAUCUCUUGCAUUCUGUUGGUGAUGCUUGUAUCUGCGGCUCCUUCUCUCUUCCUUUGGUUUUCUAUAUCCAGGGUCAUCUCUCUUUGUGCUUUCUUAAGUGCUCCUAGUUACAUUUUUAAUUCCUUUACCUGUAUGAUUGUGUUUUCCUGUAAUUCUUUCAGGGAUUUUUGUGAUUCCUCUCUAUAGGCUUCUACUUGUUUUUUUUUUUUUUUUAAUGUUUUCCUAUGUUUCUCUAAGGGAGUUCUUUAUGUCUUUCUUGAAGUCCUCAAUCAUCAUGAACAAAUGUGAUUUAAAAUCAAGAUCUUCCUUUUCUGGUGUUUGGAUAUUCAGUGUUUGCUUUGGUGGGAGAAUUGGUCCCCAAUGAUGCCAUGUUAUCUUGGUUUUUGUUGCUUGGGUUCUUGUGCUUGCCUCUUGCCAUCAGGUUGUCUCUGGUGUUACCUUGUUCUGCUAUUUCUGACAGUGGCUAGACUGUCCUAUAGGCCUGUGUGUCAGGAGUUCUGUAGACCUGUUUUCCUGUUUUCUUUCAGCCAGUUAUGGGAACAGAGUGUUCUGCUUUCAGGCGUGUAGUCUUUCCUGUCUACUGGUCUUCAGCUCUUCCCGUGGGUGUGUGUCCUGAGUCUACCAGGCAGGUUACUUGCACAAGAAAACUUGGUCUUACCUCUGGUCACGGGGCUGAAGUCAUUCCUGGGGUGCUGCGUUUGAGCUCUCCAUGAGGGCGGCAACCAGAAAGGCAUGCCCCGCCUUAUUCCAGGACCCCUCUGAACAAGGGUCUCAGAUGGCGUUAGGUGUUUUCCUCUGGAGUCAGAAAUGUGGCCAGAGUGUAGUCUCUUCUGGCUUCCCAGGCCUUUCUGCCCCUCUGAAGGCUUAGUUCUCCCUCCCACGGGAUUUGUGUGCAGGGAGCUGUUGACCAGGUCCCUUCAGAUCCAGGAGGUGUCUCUACUUUUUUAAAGUCAGUAUUUCUUACAUUUCAAAUGUUAUUCACUUUCUGGUUUCCUGUCCAUAAGCCCCCUAAACUCCCAUCCCCUUCGUUAAAGGUGUUCCCCUUCCCAUCCACCUCCCCUUACUCACCCCUGACAAUCUCCUACUUUGGGUGUCCAACGGCAGUCAAGGGUUUCUCCUUCCAUUGGUGCCCAGCAAGGCCAUCCUUUGCUACAUAUGCAAUUGGAGCCAUGGGACAGUCCAUGUAAAGUCUUUGGGUAGUGGUUUAGUCCCUGGAAGAUCUGGUUGGAUGGCAUUGUUGUUCUUAUGGGGUUGCAAGCCCUUCAGCUCUUUCAAUCCUUCCUCUAAUUCCCCCACAAAGGGGUUCCAUUCUCAGUUCAGUGGUUUGCUGCUAGUAUUCACCUCUCUAUUUGACAUGUUUUGGCUGUGUCUCUCAGGAGAGAUGUAUAGCCGGUUCCUGUCAGCAUGCACUUCUAAGUUUCAUCAAUCUUAUCUAGUUUUGGUGGUUGUAUAUAUAUGGCCCACAUGUGGGGCAGGCUCAGAAUGGCUAUUCUGUCAGUCUCUAAACUUUGCCUCCCUAUACCCUCCUAUAGAUAUUUUUUGUUCCCCUUUUUAAGGAGUGAAUCAUCUGCAUUUUGGCCAUCCUUCCUCUUGAGCUUCAUGUGGUGCAAGGAUUGCAUCUUGUGUAAUUUGAUCUUUUGAGCUAAUAUCCACUUAUCAGUGAGUGCAUACCAUGUGUGUUUUUCUGUGAUUGGGUUACAUAACUCAGGAUGAUAUUUUCUUUUUUUUUAAAUUUUUCAUUAGACAUAUUUCUUUACUUACAUUUAAAAGGUUAUUCCCCUUCCCCGUUUCCAGUCCAUAAGCCUACAUUCACUCCCCUCCCCCUCCCGCAUACGAGUAUUCCCCCUAUACAUCCCUCUUAUUGCCCAACCCAUAUUCCCUGCACUGGGGGUCCAACCUUUUCAGGUCCAAGGACUUCCCCUUCCCCUGGUGCCUCAACAAGGCUACUCUCUGCUACAUAUGCAGUUGGAGCCCUGGGUCACUCCAUAUAUAGUUUUUUUGGUAGUGGUUUAGUCCCUGGAAUCUCUAGUUGGUUGGCAUUAUUGUUUUUAUGGGGUUGCAACCUCCUUCAACUCUUUCAAAACUUCCUCUAAUUCCUCCCAAUGUGGUCCUAUUCUUAGUUUGGUGGAUUGCUGCUAGCAUUGACCUCUGUAUUGGACAUGCUUUGGAUGUGUGUGUGUGUGUGUCUCAGGAGAGAUCUAUAUCGGGUCCCUUUCAUCAUGCAUUUUUCUAGCUUCAUCAAUCUUAUCUAGUUUUGGUGGUUGUAUAUAUAUGGGCCACAUGUGGGUCAGUUUCUGAAUGGCCAUUCCUUGAGUCGUUGCUCUAAUCUUUGCUUCCAUAUCCCCUCCUAUGGAUAUUUUCCCCCUUUUAAGAAGGAUGGGGAGCAUCAUCCAUAUUUUGGCCAUCCUUCUUCUUGAGCUGCCUGUGGUCUGUUGAUUGCAUCUUGGGUAAUUCAAGUUUUUUGGCUAAUAUCCACUAAUGAAUAAGUACAUACCAAAUGUGUUUUUCUGUGAUUGAGAAACCUCACUCAGGAUCAUAUUCUCUAGUUCAUUCCAUUUACCUAGGACUUACAUGAAGUCAUUUUUUUUAUAGCUGAGUAGUACUCCAUUGCAUAGUUCUACCAUAUUUUCAAUAUCUUUUCCUCUGUUGAAGGGCAUCUGAGUCCUUUCCACCUUCUGGCUAUUAUAUAUAAGGUUUCUAUGAAGAUAGUACAGCAUGUGUUUUUAUUGUAUGUUGGAGAAUCUUUUGGGUCUAUGCCCAGGAGAAGUAUAGCUGGGUGCUCACGUAGUGCAAUGUCCAAAUUUUCUGAGGAACUUCCAGACUGAUUUCCAGAAUGGUUGUUCCAGUUUGCAACCACACCAACAAUGGAGGAGUGUUCCACUUAAUCCACAUCCUUGCCAGUAUCUGCUAUCACCUGAGUUUUUCAUCUUGGCCAUUCAGACUGGUGUGAGGUGGAAUCUCCGGGUUUUUUUGAUUUGCAUUUCCCCAGAUGAGUAGGAAUGUUGAACAUUUCUUUGGGUGGUUCUCAGCCAUUUGAUAUUCUUCAGCUGUGAGUUCUUUGUUUGGCUCUGUACCCCAUUUUUAAUAGGGUUAUUUGGCUCUCUAGAGUUGAACUUCUUGAGUUCCUUGUAUAUUUUGGAUAUGAGCACUUUAUCAGAUGUGGGAUUGGUAAAGAUCUUUUCCCAAUCUGAUGGUUGCCAUUUUGUACUAAUGACAGUGUCCUUUGCCUUACAGAAGAUUUGCAGUGUUAUGAGGUGCCAUUUGUCAAUUCUUGAUCUUAGAGCAUAAGCCAUUGGUGUUCUGUUCAGGAAAUUAUGACCAGUGCCCAUGCAUUCAAGACUCUUCCCACUUUUUCUACUAUUAGGCUGAGUAUAUGUGGUUUGAUGUGGAGGUUCUUUAUCCACUUAGACUUAAGCUUUGUACAGGGCAAUAAGAAUGGAUCUAUUUGCAUUCUUCUACAUACUGACCUCCAGUUGAACCAGCACUAUUUAUUGAAAAUGCUAUCUUUCUUCCAUUGGAUGGUUUUAGCUCUUUUGUCAAAGUAACCAUAGGUAUGUGGGUCUUCAAUUCUGUGCCACUGAUCUAUCUUCCUGUCUCUAUACCAAUACCAUUCAGUUUUUAUGACUAUUGCUCUAUAAUACUGAUUGAGAUGUGGGGUGUUCAUUGCCCCAGACGUUCUUUUAUUGUUGAGUAUAGGUUUUGCUAUCCUGGGUUUUUUUUUGUUAUUCCAGAUGAAUUUGCAAAUUGCUCUUUCUAUCUCUAUGAAGAAUUGAGUAGGAAUUUUGAUGAGGAUUACAUUGAAUCUGUAGACUGCUUUUGAUAAAAUGUCCAUUUGUACUAUAUUAAUCCUGCCUAUCCAUGAGCAUGAGAGAUCUUUCCAUCUUCUGAGAUCUUUAAUUUCUUUCUUCAGAGACUUGAAGUUCUUGUCAUACAGAUCUUUCACUUGCUUGGUAAAAGUCAUACUGAGGUAUUUUAUAUUAUUUGGGACUAUUAUGAAGGGUGUUGUUUCCCUAAUUUCUCUCUCAGCCUGUUUAUCCUUUGAGUAGGGGAAAGCUACUGCUUUGCUUGAGUUAAUUUUACCAAGCUACUCUGCAAAAGUUGUUUUUCAGGCUUAGUAGUUCUCUGGUAGAACUUUUUGGGGCACUUAAGUAUAUCAUAUCAUUGGCAACUAGUGAUAUUUUGAUUUCUUCCUUUCCAGUUUGUAUACCUUUGACCUCUUUUUGUUGUCUGAUUGCUCUGGCUAGGAUUUCUAGAACUACAUUGAAUAAGUAGGGAGGGAGUAUGAAGCCUUGUCUAGUCCCUGAUCUUAGUGGGAUUGUUUCAAGUUUCUCUCCACUUAGUUUAAUGUUAGCUAGUGGUUUGCUGUAUGUGGCUUUUACUAUGUUUAGGUAUGGGCCUUGAAUUCCUACUCUUUCCAGGACUUUUAUCAUGAAGGGGUGUUAAAUUUUGUCAAAUGUUUUCUCAGCAACUAAUUAAAUGAUCAUGUGGUUUUUAUAGUUGAGAUUGUUUAUAUAGUUGAUACAUUGAUGGGUGUCUAUAUUUUGAACCAUUCCUGCAUAUCUGGGAUGAAGUCUACUUGAUCAUGGUGGAUGAUCAUUUUGAUGUGUUCUUGGAUUUAGUUUGCAAGAAUUUUAUUGAGUAUUUUUGCGUCGAUAUUCAUAAGGAAGAUUGGUCUGAAGUUCUCUUUCUUUUAUGGGUCUUUGUGUGGUUUUUGUGUAAAAGUAAUUGUGGCUUCAUAGAAGGAAUUUGGUAGUGCUCUGUCUGUUUCUAUUUUGUGAAAUAGUUUGGACAGUAUUGGUCAGAGGUCUUCUAUGAUGAUCUGAUAGAAUUCUGCACUAAACCCAUCUGGUUCUGAGCUCUUUUAGAUUGGGAGAGUUUUAAUGAUUACUUCUAUUUCUUUAGGAGUUAUUGGGUUGUUAAGAUGGUUAGUCUGUUCCUGAUUUAACUUUGGUACCUGGUAUUUGUCUAGAAAAUUGUCCAUUUCCUUCAGAUUUUCAAGUAUUGUUGAAUAUAGGCUUUUGUAGUACGAACUGAUGAUUCUUGAAUUUUUUCAGAUUCUGUUGUUAUGUCUUCCUUUUCAUUUCUGAUUUUGUUAGUUUGGACACACUCUCUGUGCCCUCUGGUUUAUCUAGCUAAGGGUUUAUCUACCUUGUUGAUUUUCUCAAAGAACCAGCUUUUGGUUCUGUUGACUCUUUGUAUAGUCCUUUUUGUUUCUACUUGGUUAAUUUCAGCUCUGAGUUUGAUUAUUUUCUCCCUUCUACUCCUCCUGGGUGUAUUUGCUUCUUUUUGUUCUAGAGCUUUUAGGUGUGCUGUCAAACUGCUGAUAUAUGCUCUCUCCUGUUUCUUUCUGCAGGCACUCAGAGCUACAAGUUUUCCUCUUAGUACAGCUUUCAUUGUGUCCCAUAAAUUUGGGUAUACUGUACCUUCAUUUUCAUUAAAUUCUAAGAACUCUAAUUUCUUUCUUUAUUUCUUCCUUGACCAAGUUAUCAUUGAGUAGAGCAUUGUUCAACUUCUAUGUAUAUGUGGGUGUUCUCUCCUUAUUGUUCUUAUUGAUGAUCAGCCUUAGUCUGUGAUGAUCUGAUAGGAUGCAUGGGAUUAUUUCUAUCUUUCUGUAUCUGUUGAGACCUGUUUUGUGACCAAUUAUAUGGUCAAUUUUGGAGAAAGUACCAUGAGGUGGUAAGAAGAAGGAAUAUCCUUUUGUUUUAGGAUGGAAUGUUCUAUACAUAUUAGGUAAGUCCAUUUGGUUCACUUCUCCUCAUGUCUCUAUGUCUCUGUUUAAUUUCUGAUUUCAUGAUCUGCCCAAUUAUGAGAAUGGGGUGUUGAAAUCUCCUACUAUUAUUGUGUAAGGUGCAGUGUGUGCUUUGAGCUUUAGUAAGGUUUCUUUUUAUAAAUGUAGGUUCCCUUUUAUUUGGAGCAUAGAUAUUUAGAAUUGAGAGUUCAUCUUCAUGGAUUUUUUCCUUUGUUGAAUAUGAAGUGUCCUUCCUUAGCUUUUUUGAUGACUUUUGGUUGAAAGUCAAUUUUAUUUGAUAUUAGAAUGGCAACUCCACCUUGUUUCUUUGGGCCAUUUGCUUGGAAAGUUGUUUUACAGCUAUUUACUCUGAGGUAGUGUCUGUCUUUGUCUCUGAGAUGUGUUUCCUGUAUGCAACAAUAUGCUGGGUCCUCUUUACAUAUCCAGUCUGUUAGUCUAUGUCAUUUUAUUGGGGAAUUGAGCCCAUUGAUGUUGAGAGAUAUUAAGGAAUAGUGAUUGUUCCUUCCUGUUAUUUUUUUUAGAGGUGGGACUAUUUUUGUGUGCUUCUCUUCUUCUCGUUUUGUUGCAAAAAGAUUACUUUCUUGCUUUUUCUAGGUUAUAGCUUGCUUCUUUUUGUUGUGCUUUGCUAUUUAUUAUCCUUUGUAGGGCUGGAUUUGUAGAAAGAUAUUGUAUACAUUUGGUUUUGUCAUGGAAUAUCUUUGUUUCUCUGCCAAUGUUAAUUGAUAAUUUUCUGGAUAUAGUAGCCUGGGCUGGCAUUUGUGUUCCCUUAGGGUCUGUAUGACAUCUGUCCAGGAUCUUCUGGCUUUCAUAGUCUCUGUUGAGAAGUCUCGUGUAAUUCUGAUAGGUUUGCCUUUUAUGUUACUUGACCUUUUCCCCUUACUGCUUUUAUCAUUCUUUCUUUGUUUUGUUCAUUUGGUGUUUUGACCUUUUUGUGAUGGGAGUAGUUUCUUUUCUGGUCCAAUCUAUUUGUAAUUCUGUAGGCUUCUUGUAUGUUUAUGGGCAUCUCUUUCUUUAGGUUAGGGAAGUUUUCUUCUAUAGUUUUGUUGAAUAUAUUCACUGGCCCUUUAAGGUAUGAGUCUUCACUCUCUAUCCUUAGGUUUGAUCUUCUCAUUGUGUCCUGGAUUUCAUGUAUAUUUUGGGCUAGAAGCAUUUUCUGUUUUACAUUAUCUUUGAUAGUUGUGUAAUGUUUUCUAGGGUAUCUUCUGUUCCUGUGAUUCUCUCUUCUAUCUCUUGUAUUCUGUUAGUGAUGCUCACAUCUAUGAUUCCUGAUCUCUUUCUCUAGGUUUUCUAUCUCCAUGACUGUCUCCCUUCUUGUUUUAUUCAUAGUUUCUAGUUCCAUUUUUAACUGCUGGAUAGUUUUCUUCAUUUCUUUCUCCUGUUUGGUUGUGUUUUCCUGUAAGUCUUUAAGGGAUUUUUGUGUUUCCCCUUUAAGGGCUACUUCUGGUUUACCUGUGUUGUCCUGUAUUUCUUUAAGGGAGUUAUUUAUGGUCUUCUUAAAGUCCUCCAUCAUCAUUAUAAAAUGUGAUUUUUGAAUCUUAAUCUUGCUUUUCCAGUGCGUUUGGAUAUCCAGUGUUUGCCUUGGUGGGAAAACUGUGCUCUGGUGAUGCAAAGUAGUCUUGGUUUCUGUUGACUGGGUCCCUGCACUUGCCUCUCACCAUCAGGUUUUCUCUGGUGUUAGUUUGUCUUUUUGUUUCUGAUGGUGGCUUGACCCUCCUGUAGGCCUGUGUGUCAGCACUCCUGUAGACCUGUUUUCCUGUUUUCUUUCAGUUAUGGGAACAGAGUAUUCUGCUCUUGGGCAUGUAUUCGCUCCUGGCAGCUGGCUUUUAGCUCUUGACGAGGGCAGUAACAGGAAGGGUCCUGCCCCUCCUGCUCCUAGGUCCCUGUGUGCAGGGGCACAGAUGGCACUAGGCAUUUUCCUCUUGAAUCAGGAAUGUGGCAGAGAGUAGUCUCCUCUGAUUUCUCAGCAGUGUCCAUUCUUCUGAGGGUCUAGGUCUACCCCCACACCACUGGCGUUUGGGUGCAGGGAGCUGUUUGUCCCUUUUGGUUCAGAUCUGGGCACAGACACAGACAGCAGGGCUCCUGCAGCUGACUGCUCCUAUAUUCCUGUGUCCAGAGGCACUAUGCAGUUUCCUCUUGGGCCAGGGAUGUGGGCAAAGAUGGGAAGAAGUUGCAGUCUGUCCUGCAGUCUCAGGAUUGCCCAUACUUCUGGGUGUUCAGCUCUCUCUCCCACAGGAUUUGGCAGCAGGGAGCUGUGGGCCAUGAUAAGAAAAGAUCCAGGCACCUUCAGUUUGCUUUUUAAUCAGUUUGCUUAAAAAUUUUUUCAGCUCUUUAUUCUGAAGUAAUGUUUUUAUUUUUUCAAUCUUUAAUCAUGUUUUACAGUCCAGACACUAUCCUUGUCCCAUUGUGCCCUCCAACAAUUCCUCAUCCAUUUCUCCUCACGCUUCCAAAAGGAUGUCCCCACACCUCCCACAAAAACACCCCACGCCCCACCAAGCCUUCCCAUUCUCUGGGGACUCAAGUUUUUCAAGGGUUAGGUGCCUCUUCUCUCACUAAGGCCAGACCAGGCUUUCUAUGUUGUGGGUCUCGGACCGAUUAGUGUAUGCUGGCUCAGUGCCUCAAAGAUCUUGGGUGUUCAGGUUUGUUGAUAUAGCUGGUCUUCCUUUGGGGUUGCCCUUCUCCUCCAUUUCUUCCAGCCUGUCCCUAAUUCAACCACAGGGGUCCCUGACUUCAGGGUUGCAUGCAAGCAUCUGCCUCUGUCUCCUUCAGCUGUCUGUUGGGCCUCUUGGAGGGUGGCCAUGCCAGGCUCAUAUUUGCAAGUACAUCAUAGCAUCAGUAAUAGUGUCAGACCUUAGAGACAUUCAGUUUCUUCUCCACUUUUAUCUCCGCAGCUUUUCAGAGAUCAACAAUUCUGGGUCAAAGUUUUUUACUGUGGGAUGGCAACCUUACCCCUUUACUUGAAGCCCUGUCUCUCUGUUGGAGGUGAACUCUACAAGUUCCCUCUCAGAAUUGUUGAGCAAUUCAUCUCAUGUCCUGCCUUUUGAGUCUUGUGAUUCUCUCACCUCCCAGGUCUCUGGUAAAUUCUCAUAGGUCUCCUCACCUCCCACUUCCUGAGGUUGUAUAUUCCCAUUCAUUCUGCUGACCCUCAGAGCUUCAUUCCUUGUCCCCCCUCCAAUACAUAAUCAUGUCCCCUCUCCUUCGCCCCUCCCUCUCCACUCUCCCAUCCAGUUCCCUACCUCCCUCUGUCCUCUGCUUACUUCUCCCUCCCAAGUGAGGAUAAAGCAUCCUCAUUUGGGUCUGUUGGUUUGUUUACCUUCUUGAGUUCUGUGGAUUGUAGUUUGGGUAUUCUGUAUUUAUUUUGUCUAAUAUCCACUUCCUAGUAAGUACAUAGCAUGCAUGUCCUUUUUCAUCUGCACAUCCUUACUCAGGAUAUUUUUUCGUUCUAUCCAUUUUUCCUGAAAAACUCAGGAUGCCCUCAUUCUUAAUAGCUGAAUAGUAUUCCAUUGUGUAAAUGAACCUAUAUUUGAUGUUGAGGUGAAUUUCUUGUACGCAGCAAAAUGAUGGAUCCUGAUUUUAUACUCUUUGUCAUAGUUUGUUUCUUUAUAGGCAAAUUGAGUCCAUUUAUGUUGAGAGAUAUUAAAGCCUAGUACUUUUUGAUUACUGUUAUGUUGAUGAUGGCAGUGUGUGUGUGUGAGUGUUGGUGUGUGCUUUCCUUCGAUUUUUGCUAAUGUGAAAUUAUUUCCUGUUAUUUCUCAUGCAGUUGGCCUCAUUAGUUUGUAGUUUUCCUUCUAGUAUCUUCUGUAGGGUUGGAUUUGUGUAAGACAGUGUUUAAAGUUGGCCUUUGUCAUGGAAUAUCUCUUUUCUCCAUCUAAGGUGAUUGAAAAUUUUGAUGGUUUAGGGUGGAAAUUGAGGUCUCUUAGAAACUGCAAGACAUCUCUCCAGGCCCUUCUGGAUUUGAGAGUCUCUGUUGAGAAUUUGGGUGUUUGCUAGAACUGUCUUUAUAUGUUACAUGGUCUUUUUCCCUCUACCUUUUAAUAUCCUGUGUUCAGUACAUUUAACAUUUUGAUUAUUAUUGGUCAGAAGGAUUUUCAUUUUUGGUUCAAUUUACUUGGUGUCCUGUAAGUUUCUUGUACAUUUAGAGGCAUCUGUUUCUUUACGUUAACAAAAAAUUCUGUGAUUUGGUUGACAAUAUCUUCAUGGUUGCUGAGCUGGAAAUCUUUCCCUUCUUUCUAUUAUUCUUAGAUUUGCUUUUUUUUUCAUAGUGUCCAAAAUUUUCUAGAUGUUUUGUGUCAGACACUUUUUAGAUUUAACCUUUUAUGUGACUGAUAUAUCAAUUUCUUCUAUUAUAUCUUCUUACCUGAGAAUCACUUUUCCAGACCUUAUAUUCUGUUGGUGAGGCUUACACCUGUAGCUUCUGUUUUCUUAACUUGUUUUUGCACCUAAUGGAAUUAUCUAAUUUUUUGUGUUUUCAUUAUUGCUUGUAUUUCCAUUAACAGGUCUUAAAGAGUUUUCUGCAUUCCCUUCAUCUGUUUGAUUGCAUUUUCUAGUAUUUCUUGUCAGCAUUUACUUAUGUCCUCUUUAAAGGCAUCUGUCAUCUUCAUAAGACUGGAUAUAAACUUAUUUUCUUAUGCUAUGUUAGGAUAUCCAGGACAUGCUGUAGUUGGACAGCUGAUUUCUAGUGAUGCCAUAUUGCUCUGGUCCUUGCUGUGUUCUUACCCUGGGCUUUAGCCAUGUGGUUUUCCCUGGUGCCACCAUACCUCUGGGAAUGCAGGUAGAGUUGUUGGCAAGAAAAUGGACACUAGGGCAGGCUACAGCUUACUCCUAUUGGUGUGCUUUUGAGAGACUUGGUAGAAAGGAUAUUGAGACGAGCAAGGGCUUACCUAAUUUUUCCUGGUAUCAUAGGCUAGCCCUUUUUACAUAGUGAGUUCCAAGACAGCCAGGUCUAUGAAGACCUUCCUUAAACAAACAAACAAGCAAACCAAAAACAAGUAAGAGGAAAACAAAAAACAAACACAAAAACAAUUAAAAGAAUCCACGAAGCAAGGUAGGAAGGAAAAAAGAAAGAAUGACAUAGAACAACAUGAAGAAAGCAAGCAUGAAAGAAAGGAGUCCAUUUGUUAAAAGAAAUCUUUCAUUAUACUUUUUUUAAUUUAAAAUUCCUAGAUGCAAACAGGUCCAAGCUACCAUCUAUUUUAUAUGUUGCAUUUUCUGAUCUUACCCUC